RNAcentral lists this ribosomal RNA (1158 nucleotides) under Streptosporangiaceae bacterium EN2. Its description in RNAcentral is "partial 16S ribosomal RNA". It matches the Rfam family "Bacterial small subunit ribosomal RNA", at positions 47 to 1216 of the family's 1533-position model. The record is from RNAcentral. Lineage: Bacteria; Bacillati; Actinomycetota; Actinomycetes; Streptosporangiales; Streptosporangiaceae.
CUUAACACAUGCAANUCAAGCGGAAAGGCCCUUCGGGGUACUCAANCGGCNAACGGGUGAUUAACACNUGANUAACCUGCCCCUGACUCUGGGAUAANCCUGGGAAACUGGGUCUAAUACCGGAUACAACCAUUUCUCNCAUGGGAUGGUGGUGGAAANUUUUUNCGGUUGGGGAUGGGCUCGCGGCCUAUCACCUUGUUGGUGGGGUGAUGGCCUACCAAGGCGACGAACGGUAGCCCGCCUGAGAGGGCGACCGGCCACACUGGGACUGAGACACCGCCCGAACUCCUACGGGAGGCAGCACUGGGGAAUAUUGCCCAUGGGCGGAAGCCUGACGCAGNGACGCCGCGUGGGGGAUGACGGCCUUNGGGUUGUAAACCUNUUUCAGCAGGGACGAAGUUGACGUGUACCUGUAGAAGAAGCGCCGGCUAAAUANGUGCCAGCAGCCGCGGUAAUANGUAGGGCGCGAGCGUUNUCCGGAAUUAUUGGGCGUAAAGAGUUUGUAGGUGGCUUGUUGCGUUUGCCGUGAAAGCCCGUGGCUUAANUACGGGUUUGCGGUGGAUACGGGCAGGCUAGAGGCUGGUAGGGGCAAGCGGAAUUCCUGGUGUAGCGGUGAAAUGCGCAGAUAUCAGGAGGAACACCGGUGGCGAAGGCGGCUUGCUGGGCCAGUUCUGACGGUGAGGAGCGAAAGCGUGGGGAGCGAACAGGAUUAGAUACCCUGGUAGUCCACGCUGUAAACGUUGGGCGCUAGGUGUGGGGGUCUUCCACGAUCUCUGUGCCGUAGCUAACGCAUUAAGCGCCCCGCCUGGGGAGUACGGCCGCAAGGCUAAAACUCAAAGGAAUUGACGGGGGCCCGCACAAGCGGCGGAGCAUGUUGCUUAAUUCGACGCAACGCGAAGAACCUUACCAAGGUUUGACAUACACCGGAAACACUCANANAUGGGUGCCUCCUUUGGACUGGUGUACAGGUGGUGCAUGGCUGUCNNCACCCUCGUGUCGUNAGAUGUNGGGUUAAGUCCCGCAACGANCGCAACCCUUGGUUCCAUGUUGCCAGCACNCCCUUUGNGGUGGUGGGGACNCAUGGGANAAUGCCGGGGUCNACUCNGGAGGAAGGUGGGGAUGACGUCAAGUNAUCNUGCCCCUUAUGUUCUUGNNGUG